UUCCCCACUCAUGGAUAGAACCUGUGCCUCUUGCUGGGCAGACAGAUUCUUUACCACUGAGCCACUUGGGA
This 71-nucleotide transfer RNA is filed under the name Haemonchus contortus (barber pole worm). RNAcentral describes it as "tRNA, Pseudo". The record is from RNAcentral. Lineage: Eukaryota; Metazoa; Nematoda; Chromadorea; Rhabditida; Trichostrongylidae.